Ictidomys tridecemlineatus (thirteen-lined ground squirrel) is the source of this 3061-nucleotide non-coding RNA. Lineage: Eukaryota; Metazoa; Chordata; Mammalia; Rodentia; Sciuridae. The record is from RefSeq and is a predicted model, not a curated record.
CGGGUGUCUGCUAGGUCCCAAGGCAGGGGAACAGGAGCAGCCUGACGCAGCUGCAGAGGAAGCUUCCAAGUGCAGCAGCCCCUGAAGGAGGCAGAGCUGACCCUGAAGCCUAAAGACAGGAACUGUCCAGGAGAAGGAGCUGCGAAGAGAAGGAAGGUGCAGCUGUGUGCGUGGCUGUGAAGAAAGAAAAGAAAAAAGAAAAGGAGCCUGGCCAAGGAUUAACUCAUCAUUUGGAAGAUGUGAAUACAGAGCAGUGAAAGAGGAGAAGGAUAGGAAGGCAGAAGCCAUGCAGACCACACACUGCAUUAAUGGCAUCGCAUCCCAAGGAGCUGCAGAGGAGCAGCGGGGGCUCCACCUGGUCAACGAGAAGCGCACUAUGGUGCACCCCAAUGCAGCAGGAUACAGGGGUAAUUGACUUGCUAGGCUUCCUCUGCUUCUCAACUCACGCCAAGGAAAAAUUCACCUCCUAGAGUCAUUACAAGGCCCUUGGGAGUUGAGUCCUCUGGCUAACGGUUGUACAAAAUGCCAGAUCCCUCGCUCCAAGGCAUGGUGUCAUUUCAUUCCAUCUAGAAGUGGUGGAAAAAAACAGAACUUGCUGGGUUCAACUAAUCAACCUGGCCAUAGUAAUGGAAGGGCGGGGCUGUACUUCUGACUGGGAGCCACAGUGGUCUGAGGAGUCAAGCAGCCAAGAGCAGUGGAAGUGGUACAUGAGAUCAUACUCAGAACACAUGGGCAAUAGUACAUGGGAUCAUACUCAGAACACAUGGGCAAUAGUACAUGAGAUCAUACUCAGAACACAUGUGCAAUAGUACAUGGGAUCAUACUCAGAACACAUGGGCAAUAGUACAUGGGAUCAUACUCAGAACACAUGGGCUAGUACAUGGGAUCAUACUCAGAACACAUGGGCAAUAGUACAUGAGAUCAUACUCAGAACACAUGGGCAACUCCUUCAUUUCACUCAUGGGAGAAGCAAAUUUCAGUGAUGUUAUGGUGUGUCUAGUACCCUGAACUUCACCAGUGUCAUGACCUGGACAUGGAUAUAAGUUUGGUGGGUGUGAGCUUCAUAUUUCUUUUUUUCCCUUCUAAAUCAAGGGCUCUGAUUAUGCAAUGGAUGAGAUAUUGUGUUUCGAUAAAAUCGAUACCUGGCAUCACUUGGUAGGUGUAGAGUAACGUUCCGUUCUGGCAGUUGGAAUUUCCCACAAUCUUUUUGAGUUUAAAGGGAGUACAGGAACAGUACGAAUUUCCUAGGAUUAUUGUAAGGUCUCUGAAGACUUGGCCCAGUGUCUGGCUCAAUGAAUCUUAAAAAGAACUCUGAUUUAAUGGUAUUCUAAUAAGUUUUCUCUGACUCAGUAUAACUUCUCGUGCCUCUGUCAAUGUAUUCACAUCCUGCCCAUCACACCUGUCAUCCACCCUCCAGCACCUGUCCACCAUCAUCUGCCCACCACACAUCCACAUGUGUAUUGUGGUACAUGUUCAACGAUAUGGCAGAGUUUUCUUUUAUUAAGCAGGGGACUUCACUGAUGUACUUUAUUCAGUUGUUAAACACAAACAAAUGUGAUUUUAAACAAUUCCUCUCCCUGAUGAGAGAAAAAAAUGUAAGUUCCAAGAUCAAUCAGGAAAAGCAUGUUUUCAGUGUCAAAGAUACAAAAGCAGUUCUACUUGUCUCCAUUGGCCUUGCAUGGGUAUGCACGCUUUUCUUUAUCUAUAAUGAACCAGAGUCAUUCAGAACUGAAAUGCCUUCCCCACUGCAGACUUUAUCUUGAGAAUUUCCUGGACAGAAUGAGAGGAAUCAGAGAAAGAAAAGGGGAUUGACUUCUCAGGCAGAUGCAGCGUGAGGCCUGUUGAGAGAUGAUAUUGAGUGGAUGGUUCUACAGAGACCUGCCAAAAAUAAGAUUGGAGGUAGCAGGGAUGGACCAGGCUCAGCCAGACAAUCAUAGUGCAUUGCUGGCUGGUGUGAAAUUGUUCCCCAGGACAUGCUUUUCAGUUAUUUGUCCGGAUUUCUAUGAUCUUAACAGAAUGCUCCCAGGCAGAAAAUAGUUUGACUUUUCCAAGUUCCGACUUAAUUCUGCCUCGUUAAUUCCUUCGUAGGCUGUGUGGACCCCAGAGGGAAACACACUUAUCUAGCUGCCUGGGUUGGUGCCUGAUUCCCCAGAAUGGCCCGAGGAGCUGAGCUGCAGGAAGCCUAAGGCUGAGCAGAGAUUUCACUUCUCCUGGGUGCCUCAAUUUUGGAAAACUUCAAAGCUGUGCAGAUGGCAUCUCCCAGGACAGGCCAUCAGCUCUGGUCCACUCAGGAGCCGGCAGCUGGGGGAUGAGGGAUGGCACAGGCAGAGGGACAGCUUCUAGUAGCUGUGUGGAGAGGCUGCCCUGACCACCAGCCCUCCUCCACCCAUCUUCACAGGCAUCUUCCUAUCUCACAUAACAUUCCUAAAAUAUUUAUUUGCCAAAAAAUAUGUUUGAUUAAUUUGAUUGAAGAGACAGAAACUGGAAACCUGCGCUCACCCCAAAGUCAUGAGAAGCCCAGCUUGGCCAUCAGCACACCUAGGCAGCACAUCUCCAUGCUGAGGGGGAAGGGUGCAGUUUUGCAGCCACAGGCUUGGUUUCCAUGCUCUGAUCUGCCCUUCAGUAGCUGGGCGACCUCAGGAACUUUCUCAACUCCAGUAUUGUGGACUACAAAAUGGCAUCCCAGUGGUCCCCGCCUUAGGUUGUCAGGAUUAAGGGCAUUGGUAUUGGUGACUGCUUAGAACAGCAUCUGGGGCAUGGUGAGUGCAUAGUGGACAUUUAUUAUUGUUAGCAAAAGGGGACCAGGAUUUAAGAUCUGGCUCACAGUUAUAAGGCAGGUUAUCACCCUGGUGAGUGUAUUCGUCUGUCUGUCCAGUACUCAACUUCUUUACUUUCCUCUUUGCAGGGCUCUCAAAUAUCCUUUGGGAAAAUGCUUUCAAAUACUUCCCACUGCACGGCAGUGAAGCACAAUCACAGAUCACACUGGCUUUAAACUCACAUCAGGAAUAUGGCUCAUUAAGUGAACUUGUUAAAAGUAAAUUGCAAAAAAAAAAAAAAAAAA